Molecule: long non-coding RNA, 390 nt
Organism: Spea bombifrons (plains spadefoot toad)
Lineage: Eukaryota; Metazoa; Chordata; Amphibia; Anura; Pelobatidae
Exons: 3
Source: RefSeq, a predicted model, not a curated record
GGACUGUGGAUACAUUUGCUGUGCUGAACGAACGUGCCAGAGAUAUCUCAGAACUUGGCUUCCCGGUAUCUAUAACGAAGGUCGAUGCUGCAGUCCAUUUAACACAAGCUGGGAAAACAUACUUUUUCGCUGGAGACCUAUGUUGGAGCUAUGAUGAAAAACAGCAGGUGAUGGAUAAUGGUUUCCCCAAACCUAUUGAGUUCCUGUUCCCUGGCAUUGGAAAUGAUUUAGAUGCAGCAUUCGAGCACAAAAAUGGAUCCAUCUCCUUUUUCCGGGGAACAACGGAAAUUGCAUAUGACCCGAGGAAGCAGUUUGUUUCUACAAAUAAUUUAUCAUUGUGCUAAUGUUUGUAUAAUAAAGGCACAUUAUACAUUUAUCAUUACAGCAAAC